Non-coding RNA from Chelonoidis abingdonii (Abingdon island giant tortoise), 172 nucleotides. NCBI's taxonomy places the organism in Eukaryota, Metazoa, Chordata, Testudines, Testudinidae. The record is from RefSeq and is a predicted model, not a curated record.
CUCUCUCCUGUGUGGACUGACUGAUGACAAACAAGGUCUGACCUUUGUAUGAAACUUUUCCCACAGUCAAAGUACUUAUGGGGUCUCUCUCCUGUGUGGCUUUUCUUAAGUGACUUUUGUGUUGACUUUGAAUUGAAACAUUUCCCUUCAGCUCCUCCCACAAAGUUCCCCU